Molecule: long non-coding RNA, 778 nt
Filed under: Oncorhynchus kisutch (coho salmon)
Lineage: Eukaryota; Metazoa; Chordata; Actinopteri; Salmoniformes; Salmonidae
Description: lncRNA (ENSOKIG00005015097.1)
Source: RNAcentral
CCGAUUGGCUCGAGCAAGAAUUUAGUGUCACCCUCGUCAUCUACUCGCGCGCAGUCUCCGCUGUCUAAGGGCCGCGCGCCCCGCCCUCACCUCGCGGCGUGAAAACAACAUGGUAGCGGAAACACGGAGCUUCUAGCGGAACAGACACAGUCUAGCGAUAGCAUGUUCUACACAGCGGGUCAAAUUCACCGCACACACUGGACGACAACCACAAUAAUCACCUGAGAGUAAUGACAGUUGAAAGAGGAGUGUCAGGAUUCUGGAGCCAACAGAAUGGAGCGUGAAAUGUCUCCAGUGAUGCAGUGAUUUCCUCUGAAUCUGAGCAGUCGGGCUGAAAGGAAGCACACUGGCUCUGCCUAGUUGCAGCAAGAUCUUUUGAGUACAUAUCAGCGGCAUCAGGACCAUUUUCUCUCUCUCUCUCUCGCUCUCUCUCGCUCUCUCUCGCUCUCUCUCGCUCUCUCUCGCUCUCUCGCUCUCUCUCGCUCUCUCUCGCUCUCUCUCUGUGUGAUUGGAUAGACAGCCUGACGGUUGGAACUCAACAUUCCAGUGAUGUCAACGCCAGACUUCAGGUUGGUUAACUGAUAUAUGAUACGAAGUUCUUGGCAAGAUUACAUGAUGAUACAUGAUGAUUACAUAUGAUACAUACGGAUGCCGGUUAUGUUAUUGUUGGCAGGGUAUCGUGUGUUUUUACUUAGUGAAUUCUCUAUAAUUAAAAUGUUGGUUUUGACACGUAUCUCUGUAACAUCAUGAGUUGUUUAUCCGUGUAGUUACCUGUCUU